UUGACCUCGAAUCAGGUAGGGAUACCCGCUGAACUUAAGCAUAUCAAUAAGCGGAGGAAAAGAAACCAACAGGGAUUACCUCAGUAACGGCGAGUGAAGCGGUAACAGCUCAAAUUUGAAAUCUGGUCCGGUUACGGGCCCGAGUUGUAAUUUGUAGAAGAUGCUUUGGUAAUGAGUCCGGCCUAAGUUCCUUGGAACAGGACGUCAUAGAGGGUGAGAACCCCGUAUGCGGCCGAGUACUCAGUGCCAUGUAAAGCUCUUUCGACGAGUCGAGUUGUUUGGGAAUGCAGCUCAAAAUGGGUGGUAAAUUUCAUCUAAAGCUAAAUAUUGGCCAGAGACCGAUAGCGCACAAGUAGAGUGAUCGAAAGAUGAAAAGCACUUUGGAAAGAGAGUUAAACAGUACGUGAAAUUGUUGAAAGGGAAGCGCUUGCAACCAGACUUGGGCACUGUGGAUCAUCCGAGGUUCUCCUCGGUGCACUCGGCAGUGCGCAGGCCAGCAUCAGUUUGGGUGGUUGGAUAAAGACUUGUGGAAUGUAGCUCCUUUCGGGGAGUGUUAUAGCCACAGGUGCCAUGCGACCAACCCGGACUGAGGACCGCGCUUCGGCUAGGAUGCUGGCGUAAUGGUUGUAAGCGACCCGUCUUGAAACACGGACCAAGGAGUCUAACAUCUAUGCGAGUGUUUGGGUGUUAAACCCAUACGCGGAAUGAAAGUGAACGUAGGUGAGAACCCGUAAGGGGGCAUCAUCGACCGAUCCGGAUGUCUUCGGAUGGAUUUGAGUAAGA
This 783-nucleotide ribosomal RNA is filed under the name Blumeria graminis. Its description in RNAcentral is "eukaryotic LSU rRNA". It matches the Rfam family "Eukaryotic large subunit ribosomal RNA", at positions 1 to 799 of the family's 3401-position model. Lineage: Eukaryota; Fungi; Ascomycota; Leotiomycetes; Helotiales; Erysiphaceae. The record is from RNAcentral.